Oncorhynchus tshawytscha (Chinook salmon) is the source of this 334-nucleotide long non-coding RNA. Lineage: Eukaryota; Metazoa; Chordata; Actinopteri; Salmoniformes; Salmonidae. The record is from Ensembl.
UUUUUCAUAAGUUGUUAGGUGCAAGGUUUGUGGGGGAGAGAAAGGGAUGGAUGAGAAAGAGAAGGUUAGUGGGGGUGGGGGAAAGGAAGGGAUGGAUGAGAAAGAGAAGGUUUGUGAGGGUGGGGGAAAGGAAGGAAUGGAUGAGAAAGAGAAGGUUUGUGAGGAUGGGGGAAAGGAAGGGAUGGAUGAGAAAGAGAAGGUUUGUGAGGAUGGGGGAAAGGAAGGGAUGGAUGAGAAAGAGAAGGUUUGUGAGGAUGGGGGAAAGGAAGGGAUGGAUGAGAAAGAGAAGGUUUGUGAGGAUGGGGGAAAGGAAGGGAUGGAUGAGAAAGGCCCG